RNAcentral lists this ribozyme (69 nucleotides) under unclassified sequences. RNAcentral's name for it is "pistol ribozyme". It matches the Rfam family "Pistol ribozyme". The record is from RNAcentral.
ACUCGACUAAACGAGUAUAAAUAGACAUUAAGUUUAGUGCGUUACCACUGUGAAAGGUGGUAGGUUGUA